AGCGAACGCUGGCGGCAGGCCUAACACAUGCAAGUCGAACGGAUCCUUCGGGAUUAGUGGCGGACGGGUGAGUAACACGUGGGAACGUGCCCUUUGGUCCGGAACAACUCAGGGAAACUUGAGCUAAUACCGGAUGUGCCCUUCGGGGGAAAGAUUUAUCGCCAUUGGAGCGGCCCGCGUCUGAUUAGCUAGUUGGUGAGGUAACGGCCCACCAAGGCGACGAUCAGUAGCUGGUCUGAGAGGAUGAUCAGCCACACUGGGACUGAGACACGGCCCAGACUCCUACGGGAGGCAGCAGUGGGGAAUCUUGCGCAAUGGGCGAAAGCCUGACGCAGCCAUGCCGCGUGAAUGAUGAAGGUCUUAGGAUUGUAAAAUUCUUUCAGCGGGGACGAUAAUGACGGUACCCGCAGAAGAAGCUCCGGCUAACUUCGUG
RNAcentral lists this ribosomal RNA (433 nucleotides) under uncultured bacterium. Its description in RNAcentral is "partial 16S ribosomal RNA". It matches the Rfam family "Bacterial small subunit ribosomal RNA", at positions 29 to 507 of the family's 1533-position model. The record is from RNAcentral.